Molecule: transfer RNA, 92 nt
Filed under: Felis catus (domestic cat)
Lineage: Eukaryota; Metazoa; Chordata; Mammalia; Carnivora; Felidae
Rfam family: tRNA
About the family: Transfer RNA (tRNA) molecules are approximately 80 nucleotides in length. Their secondary structure includes four short double-helical elements and three loops (D, anti-codon, and T loops).
Source: Rfam by way of RNAcentral
GCCUAGGUGGCUUAGUCGGUUAAGCAUCUGACUCUUGGUUUCAGCUCAGGUCAUGAUCUCACAGCUUGUGGGUUCAAGCCCCACAUUGGGUU